Molecule: ribosomal RNA, 274 nt
Filed under: uncultured bacterium
Lineage: Bacteria
Description: partial 16S ribosomal RNA
Rfam family: Bacterial small subunit ribosomal RNA
Source: RNAcentral
AUACGAAGGGGGCUAGCGUUGUUCGGAAUUACUGGGCGUAAAGCGCGCGUAGGCGGAUUGGUCAGUUAGGGGUGAAAUCCCAGGGCUUAACCCUGGAACUGCCUCUAAUACUGCCAGUCUUGAGUUCGGGAGAGGUGAGUGGAAUUCCUAGUGUAGAGGUGAAAUUCGUAGAUAUUAGGAAGAACACCAGUGGCGAAGGCGGCUCACUGGCCCGAUACUGACGCUGAGGCGCGAAGGCGUGGGGAGCAAACAGGAUUAGAAACCCUAGUAGUCC